This is a long non-coding RNA of Astatotilapia calliptera (eastern happy), 1310 nucleotides long. The record is from Ensembl. Lineage: Eukaryota; Metazoa; Chordata; Actinopteri; Cichliformes; Cichlidae.
UUUUCCGGGAACUGUGUAUGGAACAAGUGAGUUUCUUUAAAGUAUUGUUCCCCUCCAAGAACUAGUUCGGCUUUUUGAUACUGGUUUUGCAGAUUAAGCAACAGGUUGGGAUGAGCACCAAGACAAACAGGAUUUGGCUAGUAUAGGCUUGCUUGGUGAGUUAGCCGCCCACAUAAAUGUCCCUUUGAGCAACGUGAUGGAGACGUUCCCACAGAUCUCUGUUGACUGGUUGCCCCAUGGACCAAGAGCCAAAAGCAAAGUGUGUUUCCUCUGUCUUCACUGUGCAUACUGUAUACAUGUUAUCAGCGCUGGCAGACUUUGUUGAAGAACUGGUUCUGUUUUUAAUUUUAAAAAGAGCGAUCUUAAUAAAUCGUUUAUUCUUGACAUUACCUUGAAACCCUUUGCGAUGUAGAUGAAGCAUCUGUUUAUGUCAGAUUUUUUUAUGCUGCAUACAGUAAACACACUGUCUGCAUCUUUACACAACAGAGAGGGGAAAAAAAAGUUCAGUUUCACGCAAAAGUAUUGUGGUUUAUGUUAAAGGCUAAAGUGGCACAUGUAAAAAGGGCCCUUCCGCCACUCGCCUUCUUAAAGCGUGACAAAAGCGUGACAUUAAAGGCAGGAUAUGAAAGAAGAACAGGAUGAGGAAAAUAUGACAAAGAACUUUUUUUUUAAAAGUGUCAUUAAUAUGUGUUUUUACACACGUCUGUAUGUAUAAGUAAUGUUUUUAGAGAAAUAUUUAGAGAUGUUUUAGAGAUAUUUAUAUGUAAGGUAUUUUUAAAGAGUGUAAUAAAUAAUUAUAAAAUGCUAAUCUUGAGAAAUGGCAAGUACACAAUUGACAGCACUUCCACAUAUACACAGUGCCAUCUGCUGCCUCACAUGAGAAAAUUCAACCCAGUACCUCUUAAAUAAAACACCACAAGACAUCAAUAAUUCACACUUCGCUCGCUUAAAUUUAUGUGAUGGUGCUGGCAAAUGAUCAUUUUUCUACUUUUAAGUGUUCCUAAAAUGUAAAUAUUGUGCUGCCUGUGUAAGAUAUAACGCUCUACAAUGUUUUGAUAUACAGUAAGCCUUCUGGCAUUGCUAGAUUUGUUAGGGAGACUCUGUUGUGGAUGUCUUAGUAUUUUUCAUCUAAAGGAAAAUAAAUAUAUAUGCUGAGAGCAAAAUGACAUACCAACAAAUUAAACAAUGUAUCUCAGUAAAGGUUUUGAGUGUGAAUAUUUCUAAGAGUGUGAUGAAUGAAUGUGGGACCCUGUGCCACGUGUGCUUUUUAAAAAAAAAAAAUUAUCUGGUAAAUUAGGGUGUAGUUCUUC